This 253-nucleotide ribosomal RNA is filed under the name uncultured bacterium. RNAcentral's name for it is "partial 16S ribosomal RNA". It matches the Rfam family "Bacterial small subunit ribosomal RNA", at positions 524 to 776 of the family's 1533-position model. The record is from RNAcentral.
UACGGGGGAGGCAAGCGUUAUCCGGAAUCAUUGGGCGUAAAGCGUCCGUAGGUGGUUAACCAAGUCUUUUGUCAAAGCGCGGGGCUUAACUUCGUAACGGCAGGGGAAACUGGUGAACUAGAGUGCGGUAGGGGUAGAGGGAAUUCCCAGUGUAGCGGUGAAAUGCGUAGAGAUUGGGAAGAACACCGGUGGCGAAAGCGCUCUACUGGGCCUGCACUGACACUGAGGGACGAAAGCUAGGGGAGCGAAAGGG